UACGAAGGGUGCAAGCGUUACUCGGAAUUACUGGGCGUAGAGCGUGCGUAGGUGGUUCGUUAAGUCUGAUGUGAAAGCCCUGGGCUCAACCUGGGAAUGGCAUUGGAUACUGGCGACCUAGAGUGCGGUAGAGGGUGGCGGAAUUCCCGGUGUAGCAGUGAAAUGCGUAGAUAUCGGGAGGAACAUCCGUGGCGAAGGCGGCCACCUGGACCAGCACUGACACUGAGGCACGAAAGCGUGGGGAGCAAACAGG
RNAcentral lists this ribosomal RNA (253 nucleotides) under uncultured bacterium. Its description in RNAcentral is "partial 16S ribosomal RNA". It matches the Rfam family "Bacterial small subunit ribosomal RNA", at positions 524 to 776 of the family's 1533-position model. The record is from RNAcentral.